CGUGGUGUAGCGCAGCCUGGUAGCGCGCUGGGCUCAUAACCCAGAGGCCGCUGGUUCGAAUCCAGCCACCGCAA
RNAcentral lists this transfer RNA (74 nucleotides) under Xylophilus rhododendri. It matches the Rfam family "tRNA". Rfam says of the family: Transfer RNA (tRNA) molecules are approximately 80 nucleotides in length. Lineage: Bacteria; Pseudomonadati; Pseudomonadota; Betaproteobacteria; Burkholderiales. The record is from Rfam by way of RNAcentral.